AAGGGCGACCGAAACGAAAUAUCACACGACUCUCGGCAACGGAUAUCUAGGCUCUCGCAUCGAUGAAGAACGUAGCAAACUGCGAUACUUGGUGUGAAUUGCAGAAUCCCGUGAACCAUCGAGUCUUUGAACGCAAGUUGCGCCCGAAGCCGUUAGGCCGAGGGCAC
This 167-nucleotide ribosomal RNA is filed under the name Gymnema sylvestre. RNAcentral's name for it is "5.8S ribosomal RNA". The stretch from base 28 to 167 matches the Rfam family "5.8S ribosomal RNA", at positions 1 to 138 of the family's 154-position model. From Rfam's summary of the family: 5.8S ribosomal RNA (5.8S rRNA) is a component of the large subunit of the eukaryotic ribosome. Lineage: Eukaryota; Viridiplantae; Streptophyta; Magnoliopsida; Gentianales; Apocynaceae. The record is from RNAcentral.